AUCUACGUUCACUGCUAGAAGAUCAUAGGGUAUCCCGUCCGCUCUGCCUUACUCAAGCUUCUAAGCGGGCAUUUAGUAGUAUAGUGGGUGACCAUAUGCGAAUAGUGCCUAACGUAGAUA
This 120-nucleotide ribosomal RNA is filed under the name Orbilia oligospora ATCC 24927. The record is from RNAcentral. Lineage: Eukaryota; Fungi; Ascomycota; Orbiliomycetes; Orbiliales; Orbiliaceae.